GACGAACGCUGGCGGCGUGCUUAACACAUGCAAGUCGAACGGAAAGGCCCUGCUUUUGUGGGGUGCUCGAGUGGCGAACGGGUGAGUAACACGUGAGUAACCUGCCCUUUACUUUGGGAUAACUUCAGGAAACUGGGGCUAAUACCGGAUAGGAGCUCCUGCUGCAUGGUGGGGGUUGGAAAGUUUCGGCGGUUGGGGAUGGACUCGCGGCUUAUCAGCUUGUUGGUGGGGUAGUGGCUUACCAAGGCUUUGACGGGUAGCCGGCAUGAGAGGGUGACCGGCGACAUUGGGACUGAGAGACGGCCCAGACGCGUACGGGAGGCAGCAGGGGGGAAUAUUGCACAAUGGGCGGAAGUCUGAUGCAGAAACGCCGCGUGCGGGAUGACGGCCUUCGGGUUGUAAACCGCUUUAGCCUGUGACGAAGCGUGAGUGACGGUAAUGGGUAAAGAAGCACCGGCUAACUACGUG
Molecule: ribosomal RNA, 468 nt
Filed under: uncultured bacterium
Lineage: Bacteria
Description: partial 16S ribosomal RNA
Rfam family: Bacterial small subunit ribosomal RNA
Source: RNAcentral